Molecule: unclassified non-coding RNA, 231 nt
Filed under: Filobasidium stepposum
Lineage: Eukaryota; Fungi; Basidiomycota; Tremellomycetes; Filobasidiales; Filobasidiaceae
Description: partial internal transcribed spacer region
Rfam family: Eukaryotic small subunit ribosomal RNA (bases 1-48)
Source: RNAcentral
AAAAGUCGUAACAAGGUUUCCGUAGGUGAACCUGCGGAAGGAUCAUUAUUGAAUUCAAAUCAUCUGUGGCUUCGGUCCGGAUUUGCCAACAGGUAACACUGUUGGUAAUUCUAUCCAUAACACCUGUGAACUGUUGGAUGCUUGCAUCCACUUUUAUACUAAACAUUAUUGUAACAAAUGUAGUCUUAUUAUAACUAAUAAAACUUUUAACAACGGAUCUCUUGGCUCUCG